AGAGUUUGAUCAUGGCUCAGAUUGAACGCUGGCGGCAGGCCUAACACAUGCAAGUCGAACGGUAACAGGAAGCACCUUGCUGCUUCGCUGACGAGUGGCGGACGGGUGAGUAAUGUCUGGGAAACUGCCCGAUGGAGGGGGAUAACUACUGGAAACAGGUGCUAAUACCGCAUAGGUCAUCAUUCCACAUGGAAAGAUGACAAAAGACGCUACGGUGUCGCUGUUGGAUGGGCCCGCGCUGCAUUAGUUAGUUGGUGAGGUAACGGCUCACCAAGACCAUGAUGCAUAGCCGACCUGAGAGGGUGAUCGGCCACACUGGGACUGAGACACGGUCCAGACUCCUACGGGAGGCAGCAGUGGGGAAUAUUGCACAAUGGGCGCAAGCCUGAUGCAGCCAUGCCGCGUGUAUGAAGAAGGCCUUCGGGUUGUAAAGUACUUUCAGCGGGGAGGAAGGCGAUAAGGUUAAUAACCUUGUCGAUUGACGUUACCCGCAGAAGAAGCACCGGCUAACUCCGUGCCAGCAGCCGCGGUAAUAC
Molecule: ribosomal RNA, 536 nt
Filed under: uncultured bacterium
Lineage: Bacteria
Description: bacterial SSU rRNA
Rfam family: Bacterial small subunit ribosomal RNA
Source: RNAcentral